Molecule: long non-coding RNA, 369 nt
Filed under: Prunus persica (peach)
Lineage: Eukaryota; Viridiplantae; Streptophyta; Magnoliopsida; Rosales; Rosaceae
Description: long non-coding RNA (PPER_LNC005054)
Source: RNAcentral
AAAAUACAAAAACCAAGCUGAGCUAUGUUGUGCAUUUGACGAUGAGAAAUAUAUAAUGAAGACAAGGCUGCUGAUUCUUUCUUUAUUUUUCAGGUCAGCCUUGCAAGCGUAUCCUCUUCUUCUUCUUCUUUUUCUUUAUUUCUUUCUUUAUUGUAUUGUACUUGUUUCCUCUACGCACGCAUUUACCUAAUGAUGACUAACUUGAGCUUAUCCAAGGAAAUGUAUGGUCUCCCAAGUUUUGUUUACACAAUUGGUGAUCCAACGUAUAUCUUUUCGUUUUGCACAAACUUCCACUGCAUCAAAUAACCCAUUUUAUACCAAGCUGAUAUCCCACCCUUCUCCACCUUUAGUCCACUACUUGUGCUUCUC